This is a non-coding RNA of Streptomyces sp. MnatMP-M17, 172 nucleotides long. Lineage: Bacteria; Bacillati; Actinomycetota; Actinomycetes; Kitasatosporales; Streptomycetaceae. The record is from Rfam.
CCUCUUGGCCCGUCUGUCGGUUCGCGAUACCUUCACGUCGAUAUCACGACGGCGGGACGGAAGUCCGGUGAGAGUCCGGCACGGUCGCGCCACUGUAUGCCGGGUGUCGGCUGCGCAACAGCGCAGCGGAGCCCGGUCAGUCAGACCCGACGGCCGUCGUUCGAGCUCCACC